GCUAGGAUGAACGCUAGCUACAGGCCUAACACAUGCAAGUCGAGGGGCAGCAUGGUCGAAGCUUGCUUGACUGAUGGCGACCGGCGAAUGGGUGAGUCACGCGUGUCCAACCUGCCCUGUGCCCGGGGAUAGCCCUUGGAAAUGAGGAUUAACACCCGAUACGUGGCGCUUCCGCAUGGCGGCGCCAUGAAACCGACACAGGAUGGGGACGCGUCGGAUUAGCUUGACGGCGGGGCGACGGCCCACCGUGGCGACGAUCCGCAGGGGUUCUGAGAGGAAGGUCCCCCACACUGGCACUGAGACACGGGCCAGACUCCUACGGGAGGCAGCAGUGAGGAAUAUUGGUCAAUGGCCGAGAGGCUGAACCAGCCAAGUAGCGUGCAAGGAUGACGGCCCUACGGGUUGUAAACUGCUUUUGCGGGAGGAUAAAGUGCACUACGUGUAGUGCUUUGCAGGUAUCCCGUGAAUAAGGACCGGCUAAUUCCGUGCCAGCAGCAGC
RNAcentral lists this ribosomal RNA (499 nucleotides) under uncultured bacterium. Its description in RNAcentral is "bacterial SSU rRNA". It matches the Rfam family "Bacterial small subunit ribosomal RNA", at positions 26 to 518 of the family's 1533-position model. The record is from RNAcentral.